Dendronephthya gigantea is the source of this 658-nucleotide long non-coding RNA. RefSeq lists it as uncharacterized. The record is from RefSeq and is a predicted model, not a curated record. The transcript has 2 exons. Lineage: Eukaryota; Metazoa; Cnidaria; Anthozoa; Malacalcyonacea; Nephtheidae.
GAUAAAAAAAUUCUACCGCGCUGUUACUUCUAGCCUUGAACUUUAAUUCAGUUUUCAUAAAUGUUUGAGCAUUUUGUGCCCAAAGAACAUGCCCUGUCUACCGCGCACCAAAAAAGUUAAACUGUUUGAUUGAGUAUAACUUCAGAAUGAAAGAGCUCUUAUGCUAAAAUUAUGUUUUUUGUACAUCCUCUAAUGUCGGAAUUAAAUUUGGAUAUAUAGCAUGAGGUUUUUCGUACAAUUUGACCGAGAUAUCGCCGAUAUAUCCUAGUUGGAUAUAUUUGCAAUUCCUAGUAUACUCUAAAAAGUUCCCAUCUUAUUGCUCUUACAGAUCUUACAGAUUCAGAUUCACAAGGCAAUGAUAUUAGCAAAGAAAGUAAAAGUCCAAACAACCCAGAUGAAGGUGAUGAUCUUCCUAAAACUUGUGACAGCGAGUGUGCUCCAUCGGUACAUAGUUCUAAAAGGACAUUAACGUCAUUUCUAACCAUAGAAGCUCCUCAAAGCUCAUCCAAAGCUCCUUCGCUCGUCCAAACCAGUUGUAAUGAAAAAAGUGGUAGAGACCUUGCAGAAGACACCUAGGCUUUCCCAUUUGUUGGAAACAUUUACUAACCGCCAAUUAGCUGAUAGAGUGCGCUCAGAACGAAAAGCCAUUGUUCGUGCC